GCAGAUCCUGAAUUCCACAUUAAACCAGAAAUCAUACACCAAGCCAGUAACAUCACCCAGACGUAACACAGGGCACCUCGUCGAUGCUGAUGCCACAUCUGCUGCCUUGGGUGGCAGCUGCAGUGGGUGAAGGGCCAAGGAGAGACCAAUGGUGUGAAUCAAGCUGAGAAGCACCUUACAGCACAAGCACCAUCACCCCACUAAGCUUGUUCAAGGAACUUGGGACCACCACAACCAGUCCAAGUCCUGGCAAAAAUCAAGAUGGGAUGGGCCCAGAGAGAUUAUGUCUACCCGAGUGGAAGCCCUGGCCACCAUAUUUGCACAUUAAGUGGCUUCAUCUCUGCUCAUUUGUGUGUUGGUGUCAUCAUUUUGGCCUCACCCUGAUGCAAACUCACGCUAACCAUUUUUGAUGGUCUUUAACACAGCUUUUAAUAGUUCUUUGUUCACAGUGCUGGCAUCAACAUUGGCAUCAUCAGUGUAAUCCCAGGUGUGUGGGAACACAACCAAGUGUGCAGGAACAUCACCAACACAACCGCAUCACACCUCACCAGACUCAGCAAGAGCCCACUGGACUCACCUGGGCACCUGCUCAGCUAUACAUGACCAGGUUGACUCGUAGGUGCUUCCAUGAUCAGACAAAAGCAGCAUGUUUUCCUUUCUGCACCUCUACAAAGGACAUCUUAAAGAACUCAUCGUGGCACGGCUCUAUUUGUUUCCUAGUCUACAAGGUUUGCAUCCCAUAGGUCUGUAAGG
RNAcentral lists this long non-coding RNA (753 nucleotides) under Gallus gallus (chicken). RNAcentral describes it as "lncRNA (ENSGALG00010018687.1)". The record is from RNAcentral. Lineage: Eukaryota; Metazoa; Chordata; Aves; Galliformes; Phasianidae.